This 534-nucleotide small RNA is filed under the name Pan troglodytes (chimpanzee). RNAcentral describes it as "retained intron". The record is from RNAcentral. Lineage: Eukaryota; Metazoa; Chordata; Mammalia; Primates; Hominidae.
AGACUAACCUGGCAAGGAGCCCCCAAUGAGCCACCUCUCCUCACCCCCCAAAAAACAUAAGGGGGAGCGCAAAGGCCACAGUCUCCCCCAUGGUUCAGAAAGGGGUAGCUCCUCCCGGGACAAGGACCGAAGUGCGACGGUCAGUAGUUCAGUGCCCAUGCCUGCUGGAGGGAAGGGAAGCCAUCCUUCAUCUACACCCCAGAGGGUCCCCAACCGCCUGAUCCACGAGAAGUCACCAUACCUCCUACAACAUGCCUACAAUCCUGUGGACUGGUACCCCUGGGGACAGGAAGCCUUCGACAAGGCCAGGAAGGAAAACAAGCCGAUUUUCCUCUCAGGUAAUGCUCCCACCUUCCCUGAUGUGGGGGUGUGGGCAGGGAGCGGCAGUGGAUGGGGGAGGGCCCUCUCGGCCUGGCGGGUCUUCCAGGAGACUAGAGGCCAGGACGUCUUCCAUGUAGCCAGGGCCACUUGGCCAGCCUCCCUCUGACCCGUUGCUGGCCCCCUGACCUCUCCCCAUGGCCCUGUUCAGUCGGG